GGAUGUGAGGGCGAUCUGACUGCAACAUCUGUCACCCACUGAUCGUCAGGGUUGAUGCAGCUGAUCUGGAUCGCUAGACGAGUGUCCCCUUCCUCACUCACCACUCCAUGGGCGUCCCUCCUGAAGCUGUGUGCUCAGUCCUCGUCGAAGAGGACGGCCUUCCCCGAAUAAAGACAGACUGGUCUUCAGUUGAGGGUAUAUGAGUAGCUGCGCUCCCCUGCUAGAACCUUCAAACAAGCUCUCAAGGUCCAAAUCCAAAUAAACAUGCUCUCCCCCCCAACUAAACUUCUGUGAGGGGGCAUCUACAGAUUUAGUAGUGCUCUGUGACUAAUAUUAGUAGCUUUGCU
Unclassified non-coding RNA from Erinaceus europaeus (western European hedgehog), 347 nucleotides. Its record names the gene 7SK. It matches the Rfam family "7SK RNA". Rfam says of the family: 7SK was discovered as an abundant small nuclear RNA in the mid-70s but a possible function has only recently been suggested. Two independent studies have found that 7SK RNA binds the CDK9/cyclin T complex (known as elongation factor P-TEFb). The record is from Ensembl. NCBI's taxonomy places the organism in Eukaryota, Metazoa, Chordata, Mammalia, Eulipotyphla, Erinaceidae.